UGUAGCUCACGAAAGCUUAUGCUCUAAUAAAUUUUAGUCUCUAAGGUGCCACAAGUACUCCUUUUCUUUUUGCGAAUACAGACUAACACGGCUGCUACUCUGAAACCAGAUACUAUGAUGAUGGUCAUCUGUAGAAUAGCAUGCUCAAUGUGCAAUAUCACACCACUACAAUGGAAUUGUCAGACCAUAGUCACAAUAUACUACGGUGUUCUUAAUUAUUGUAUCAACACUGUAGUAUACUGUGACAAUCAACCCCUAAUUAGUGAGUGCUGUAUAAAUGGUGAUGUGUGAUCUGUAGUACAAUCUAGCUGUGUAUUUUAGUUGUUUAUAUCAUGGGUAACUGUUACAGUAUAGGCACAAAUUGAAGGGAUGGCUUUGACGUAGUGUGAUUUGUUGUAGAAGGAAUAACAGUAACAAUCCAGCCCAGAUUGGCAGUGACAAAGUACAGCAGAACCCCUGAUUUAAUUGGGACCUCUCUGGCCAGAUCGGAAAAUUUGGAUAAUCCAGAGAAUGGAAAAGUAUGAUGCCACAGCGCCAUCUAGUGGCCACAGGAGAGAUCUCCUGCUUCUGGACUGGUGUGGGCUGGUUGUUCAGUUAAUAGGAAUGCCAGAUAAUGGAGGGUCAGAUAAACAGGGUUCUAUUGUAGUUCCCAUCUGAACUAUGUGAAGUAAGUCAGUCAUGUCAGUCUAGUUCCUGGUGGACAGGUGUCCACAUCACAAAAACUAUCAGAAUCAUAGUUCAGUAACCCCUUGUUCUGAGUCUGAGCAAAGAGGUCAAGGAUUUAGCAGACAUGGAAGUAGAACUACUUUCUCGUAGAGGUGCCUUGUCUAGUCUGGAGGGAGACACAUUCGUGGGGCAUUGAGGGAAAGCUUGCACCUAUGGCUGUACCUGUUCUUUGAGAACUACAAAUUCUGGAGCUCUCAAUUCAGCAUAUUUCAUGAGCAGGACGUUCACAUGGAAGGAGAAAAUGUUACAACCUGAAUGUCCGCUGUUUGAGGAAAGACAACCUUUCUUCUGCUUGUAUCAUUAUCAACUUGGUCGUAUGAGGAGAUUUUUUUAAGCAUUUAUCCAGUGUUGUUUAAAUUAAGAUACUUGAUUUUUAGUCCAGGAUAUACACUGUUUUGUAUAUGGAUUUGCUCAGGUCCCCUACAUAAGCAUAAGAUCCCAAAGUCCUGUUACAAUCUUUAUUCAAGUUGUGUGAAAUAUUUUUAUAGUUUCAGUAACACAGUUCAAAAGAUGGUCCUGGCCAUCCCAAACUUCCUAAAGAAAUGGAUAGGGAAAUGUCUAUGGCUUGCUAGUUCCUUGUGUUAUUGCAAAGCCUGAAAUGAUUUAAAUAAACUAUGUCUGAACAAUAUAAUCUAGUGUCUUUG
Molecule: long non-coding RNA, 1370 nt
Organism: Dermochelys coriacea (leatherback sea turtle)
Lineage: Eukaryota; Metazoa; Chordata; Testudines; Dermochelyidae
Exons: 2
Source: RefSeq, a predicted model, not a curated record